RNAcentral lists this ribosomal RNA (467 nucleotides) under uncultured bacterium. RNAcentral describes it as "partial 16S ribosomal RNA". It matches the Rfam family "Bacterial small subunit ribosomal RNA", at positions 29 to 507 of the family's 1533-position model. The record is from RNAcentral.
ACGAACGCUGGCGGCGUGCUUAACACAUGCCAGUCGAACGGAAAGGCCCUGCUUUUGUGGGGUGCUCGAGUGGCGAACGGGUGAAUAACACGUGAGUAACCUGCCCUUGACUUUGGGAUAACUUCAGGAAACUGGGGCUAAUACCGGAUAGGAGCUCCUGCUGCAUGGUGGGGGUUGGAAAGUUUCGGCGGUUGGGGAUGGACUCGCGGCUUAUCAGCUUGUUGGUGGGGUAGUGGCUUACCAAGGCUUUGACGGGUAGCCGGCCUGAGAGGGUGACCGGCCACAUUGGGACUGAGAUACGGCCCAGACUCCUACGGGAGGCAGCAGUGGGGAAUAUUGCACAAUGGGCGGAAGCCUGAUGCAGCAACGCCGCGUGCGGGAUGACGGCCUUCGGGUUGUAAACCGCUUUCGCCUGUGACGAAGCGUGAGUGACGGUAAUGGGUAAAGAAGCACCGGCUAACUACGUG